Haliotis rubra (blacklip abalone) is the source of this 135-nucleotide long non-coding RNA. RefSeq lists it as uncharacterized. Lineage: Eukaryota; Metazoa; Mollusca; Gastropoda; Lepetellida; Haliotidae. The record is from RefSeq and is a predicted model, not a curated record. The transcript has 3 exons.
GAGUAAAUUGUAUAUUAGAUCUACAUGCCCGAUGAAAAAUCGUCUCAGCCAGCUGCUGACAUUGGGAAGCGUAUUUUCUACCAAAUAAUCUAUCCGGCAAUUCACGUUCGUCUAAGAUAUUAGCUGAGGGAAAGG